UACAAAUUCAGGAACGGCAAAUAACAAAGGGAGAGACUGAUAAAUAUCCAUCAUUAGAACAUCAUGCGAGAGAAGUGUUCUUGAAAUCAUCAGUUCGAUCUCCUUUGAUCAUCUUAUGCAAUUGGGUAGCAAAGAAACUAACAGCAACUUCAGAAAUAUACAUUCUCCCUUCAACAAUUUCUUUCAGUACUUGAUUCUCCCACCAUAUAUCCAUAUCAACAAGAUGCAUAUAGUAAAAUAUCCAGAGAAAGCGCAAAGGAUGAACAUAAAAGAUACUAGAAGUGCAUGGCAGAGCUUGAUUCAUCAUUCCCUGUGCUUGGACUAGGCUUCUUUUUCUUCUUUUUGUAAGGAAUACCUCUUGCCUUAGCUUGACAGUCCCUAACCUCCCUUAGA
This 393-nucleotide unclassified non-coding RNA is filed under the name Hevea brasiliensis (rubber tree). Lineage: Eukaryota; Viridiplantae; Streptophyta; Magnoliopsida; Malpighiales; Euphorbiaceae. The record is from RNAcentral.